This 338-nucleotide unclassified non-coding RNA is filed under the name Mycobacterium gordonae. RNAcentral's name for it is "partial contains 16S-23S intergenic spacer and 23S ribosomal RNA". Lineage: Bacteria; Bacillati; Actinomycetota; Actinomycetes; Mycobacteriales; Mycobacteriaceae. The record is from RNAcentral.
AAGGAGCACCACGAAGAGCACUCCAAUUGGUGGGGUGCGAGCCGUGAGGGGUCAUCGUCUGUAGUGGACGAAGACCGGGUGCACGACAACAAGCUAAGCCAGACACACUAUUGGGUCCUGAGGCAACACCCUCGGGUGCUGUCCCCCCAUCUUGGUGGUGGGGUGUGGUGUUUGAGAAUUGGAUAGUGGUUGCGAGCAUCAAAAUGUAUGCGUUGUCGUUCUCGGCAACGUGUUCUUUUUGUGCAAUUUUAUUCUUUGGUUUUUGUAGUGUUUGUAAGUGUCUAAGGGCGCAUGGUGGAUGCCUUGGCAUCGAGAGCCGAUGAAGGACGUGGGAGGCU